GGAUUGUGGCUCAUCGGUAGAGUGCUCGUCUAUCACGAGUGGGACCUGGGUUCGAUUCUCAGCACCA
RNAcentral lists this transfer RNA (67 nucleotides) under Marmota monax (woodchuck). Its description in RNAcentral is "tRNA.Asp". The record is from RNAcentral. Lineage: Eukaryota; Metazoa; Chordata; Mammalia; Rodentia; Sciuridae.